AAAGAGAUGGUCCAGUGGUCAAGAUUUCCGCCUGUCAGUUGGGGAGGGUAGAAAGCCAUCAAGCCUGAAGCCUAAAGCAACAAAACCAAAAAAAAAGCGCGCGGACGACCGGGGUUCGAUUCCCCGUCUGAGAG
Molecule: non-coding RNA, 134 nt
Organism: Arthrobotrys musiformis
Lineage: Eukaryota; Fungi; Ascomycota; Orbiliomycetes; Orbiliales; Orbiliaceae
Source: the annotation of a GenBank genome assembly